This 245-nucleotide ribosomal RNA is filed under the name uncultured bacterium. RNAcentral's name for it is "partial 16S ribosomal RNA". It matches the Rfam family "Bacterial small subunit ribosomal RNA", at positions 524 to 768 of the family's 1533-position model. The record is from RNAcentral.
UACGGAGGGUGCAAACGUUGCUCGGAAUCAUUGGGCGUAAAGCGCACGUAGGCGGUCCGUUAAGUCGGGUGUGAAAUCCCUCGGCUCAACCGAGGAAGUGCAUUCGAAACUGGCGGACUUGAGUAUGGAAGAGGGUCGUGGAAUUCCCGGUGUAGAGGUGAAAUUCGUAGAUAUCGGGAGGAACACCAGUGGCGAAGGCGGCGACCUGGGCCGAUACUGACGCUGAGGUGCGAAAGCGUGGGGAG